CAGGCGGUUAUUGUCUAUGCUGACUGGUACAGUAGCCAGGGGCCACAUGUGGCCAUCGGGGACUUUUUGAAGUCUUUUUUUUUUUUUUUUUUGAGACAGAGUCUUGCUCUGUCACCAGGCUGGAGUGCAGUGGUGCGAUCUUGGCUCACUGCAACCUGUCCCUUCCAGGUUCAAAUGAUUCUCUUGCCUCAGCUUCUCGAGUAGCUGGGAUUACAGGCGCACACUACCACACCCGGCUAAUUUUUUGUUUUUGUUUUUUUUGAGACGAAGUUUCCCUCCUGUUGCCCAGGCUGGAGUGUAGUGGUGCGAUCUUGGCUCACUGCAACCUCCGUCUGCCGAGUUCAAGCGAUUCUCCUGCCUCAGCCUCCUGAGUAGCAAGCUCGCACCACCAUGCCCGGCUAAUUUUUUGUAUUUUUGGUAGAGACGGGGUUUCACCAUGUUGGCUAGGCUGGUCUUGAACUCCUGACCUCAGGUGAUCUGCCCUCCUUGGCCUCCCAAAGUGCUGGAAUUACAGGCAUGAGCCACCGUAACUGGCCGUAAAGUCUUAGUUUUUUUUGUUUGUUUUGUUUUGUUGUUUGUAUUUUUUUUUUUGAGACAGAGUCUUGCUCUGUCGCCCAGGCUGGAGUGCAGUGGCCGCAAUCUCGGCUCACUGCAAGCUCUGCCUCCAGGGUUCAUGCCAUUCUCCUGCCUCAGCUUCCCAAGUAGCUGGGACUACAGGCGCCCGCCACCACACCCGGCUAAUUUUUUUAGAUUUUUAGUAGAGACGGGGUUUCCCCAUGUUAGCCAGGAUGGUCUCGAUCUGACCUCGUGAUCCGCCCGCCUCAGCCUCCCAAAGUGCUGGGAUUACAGGUGUGAGCCACCGUGCCCGGCCAAAGUCUUAGUUUUUAACUUGAACUUCCAAGGCCACGUGCGUCUCCUGGCUCCUGCACGGACUGUGUGACUGUCCCCGACAGCUUUCCUGUCUCGUCUCAUGAGGGGUCCAGCACAUGGCAUUCUGGGUCGGCACCUGAAGUCCACCUCUAUGAGACCCUCUGGGAGCGUGACGGGGCCUUGGCAUGGGUCGGCCGAGGCCCUUCUGUCCCAGGUCACUGGUGUGGUCGGCCCAGGCCCUCCUGUCCCACAUCACCUGUGUGGUCGGCCCAGGCCCUCCUGUCCCAGGUCACCGGUGUGGUCGGCCCAGGCCCUCCUGUCCAGGUCCUCCUGUCCAGGUCACUGGUGUGGUCGGCCCAGGCCCUUCUGUCCCAGGUCACCUGUGUGGUCGGCCCAGGGCCCUCCUGUACCAUGUCACUGUUGAGGGGCUGGCUCUGGAAGAGGGCAGGGACUUGGCAUUGGUGGGGGCAGGGUUCCAAGGUGUGGCCUGUCAGCAGGAAGGGGCAGGUGGCAUGGGUCCAGGCGGGACUCAGGGCUGGGGUGCCACUGCUGGAGACUGUCCGGAG
RNAcentral lists this long non-coding RNA (1436 nucleotides) under Homo sapiens (human). Its description in RNAcentral is "HSALNT0117813". The record is from RNAcentral. Lineage: Eukaryota; Metazoa; Chordata; Mammalia; Primates; Hominidae.